Molecule: RNA transcript, 2014 nt
Organism: Acanthopagrus latus (yellowfin seabream)
Lineage: Eukaryota; Metazoa; Chordata; Actinopteri; Spariformes; Sparidae
Gene name: SLAM family member 5-like
Exons: 11
Source: RefSeq, a predicted model, not a curated record
UAGACUCCUCCCUCUGAGACUCUGAUUGGUCCAGCUGAGAGUUGAGAGCUCAGAGGUUCAGAUGUUUUCUCUCCUCUGUACCAGAAGUAUUUCCAACCAGAUGAUGAUGGCUUCACAGAGCAGAAGAGGAAGAGGCAUUGCGUCUCUCAAAGAUGGCCGUUGGUCGCCUUCGAUACCUGUCCUGCUUCUUUACAUGCAGUGCUAUUCUGCUGCUUGUGGUCUCCAUCAAUGAUGUGGAGGCUUCCAGCUGUCCACGUGUCAUCCAUAAAAAAGUUGGAGACACUGUGGAGCUUCCGUCAUGCUUACCAACUGACAGGGCCACUGACAGGGUCACAAUGGCAAUAUGGAAAUACGGAAAGAAAAAACUUACAGACAAAAAUAAGAUUUUUCAUGAAAAUCAGUUUAAGGGCAGAUUAGAGCUAAACCACCAAAACUUUAGUUUAACAGUGAAACGACUGACUCUCCAAGAUUCUGGUAACUUCAGUUUUCUCUCAGAUGUGAAUGACAAACAAAGGGAAGUAGUCAUCAUCUCUCUGCAAGUUCAUGAGCCCAUCACUAAACAGCCCACUCUGACUUACAAUUCCACCUGGCACACAUCGAAUGAAUCCUGCACAGUUUUUCUCAAGUGCAGAGCGGCUUCUGACAGCAGCGUCGACUACAAGUGGACCGUGAGGAAAAAAACCAGAAGUGGGUCUGUGCUGCAGUACAUCAUCAGUGUGCAGGACGGAGACACCGACUUCACCUGCACAAUAUACAACAUUGUCAGUGAGAUGUCCAUGUCCCAGACUUUGACGUGCAGUAACGCUCUACAAGGGUCCAGACCACUCAUUGUCGGGCUGGUUGUUGGAAUGUUGCUGAUUAUUGUACUGCUACUCUCUCUGCUUUGCUACACAAAGUCAAUAGGCUGCUGUUGUAACAGGCUCAUCCAGCCUCCAACCCAGGUCAACCCAGAUGAAGCUCAAGAGCGAGUGUACUCCUCUCUCCUCCACGGUGAUGGUUGUGUCUAUGAGACAAUAAGAGGUCCGGAAGAUCCUGGAGCAGGCGAACGACCAAAUUCAUACAUUAAUGUCACAUCUGCAGGAGUUCAUGGAGUGUGUUCCCUUCUGCCUCAAGACAGCCAUCAAUUCUGCUGUGUCUAGUCCCUGUGGCUCUUACCACCAUUCUGAUGAAGUGCUUUGAGAAACUGGUACAUCCAGCACAUCCAGCCUGGACCCUAACCGGUUACUAUUCAAUUCAAUCUCACCCACGAAGCUGACUGGAAUACUGAACACUCUGGGUUACUCUGAGUACCACAAUCUCCGACUGGAUAUUGGACUCCUCCACAAGCAGACUCCAGAGAGUACAUAUAGGCAGCCACACCUCUACUACAUUAGUGCUCAAUACUGGAGACCCCCAGGGCUGUGUUCUCAGACCCCUCCUAUUCAGACUGUACACCCAUGACUGCACUCCCAGACAUCAAAAUAACUCUAUUGUGAAGUUUGCGGAUGACACCACCAUCUUCGGCCACACUACAAGCUAUGAUGAGGGUUCACGUGGGAGGAAAUAAACAAUCUUGCAGAGUGGGGCGCAGAGAACAAAACAACUGUUCAACAUCAGCAAGACCGACGAGCUGAUUGUUGAUUUUAGAAAAGCGGGAGGCAAAGACACACACCCCUGUCUACAUCGGUAGAGCAGGUGAACAGUUAAAGCUGCCUUGGAAAUACCAUCACUGAGAACUUCUCUUGGCCUUGACACAUCACUGCCCUGGUAACUAAGGACAGCUGAAUUCCAGAGCAAGAUUCAGGUCAACUGUUACAGAGGAGCACCCUGACUGGAAACAUCACAAACUGGUAUGGGUUGUGCACUGCUAAGGACAGGAGAUGUCUGCCCUGCACCCAAUGGAUAUUACAACACAACUCACACACCGGCCACAGUCUGUUUAGCCCAUCGCCAUCUGACUAAAGAUAAGUGUCUACAGACCACAGUGAUGCACCCUUUAGCAUCAAGAUAAAUGGUGAACCACUGUUUAUCUUGC